Molecule: long non-coding RNA, 937 nt
Organism: Odocoileus virginianus texanus
Lineage: Eukaryota; Metazoa; Chordata; Mammalia; Artiodactyla; Cervidae
Source: RefSeq, a predicted model, not a curated record
CAAUAUCGGUCACUGGAUUAAUCUCUCAAUUUGUCUUAUUUCAUUCUUAGGAAAAAAAAGGACGAGAAAAAUCUACUAAUUUCGGGGUAACCACUAGCUCCAGAAUACCCAUAGUACAUUAGAUGCAUUUCUUUGAAAUUUCCUUCCUGUUGCCAUUUGCUGGUGACCCUCUACCCAUCUCAGUGAUAUAUAUUUUACCACUGUCCAAUAGUUCCUAUUUCACACAUGACCCAGAAUUAAAAAGUGAAAGUUUGACAUUAUUGGAGAGAUUUCUUCUUCAAAUCAGGAAAGCUGAAUUCUACUCACAGACCUGCCACUGGGAACUUUGGCAACGUUUUGGAGACUUUAUACGGAGAUCUAUCCUUUUUAAUCUUUCCAAAGUCCUGAUGAAGUAGGUAUUAGUCCUUCAGCUUUUCAGAUGAGGAAGAGGUUCAGAGCCAUUCGGAGAAGUGCAUCCCAGCGGAAUCUACAAAGUCCACAGUUGCCAGGAUGGAUCACUGACUAUUCUUGGUCCACAUGCUUGUGAAGAUGUCCCCAGUUCAUCUUCAAGAGCCGAUACCAGCAAGCCUUUGGGUUGUAAGCUGUAAAGUAGGAGAGAAAUCCAGCAACCGUCUUCUUGAUUCCUCCCUCACUUUGUUCUUCUCUGUCUCAGCAGUUGAUCCUUUGCAGUCUGGCCACCUCUUGCCCUUUGGUUUUUCUGCAGCAGAGACCUUGAACCUCUGCAGCCUGUGGGGCACAGCAGGCUCACAAACAAGUUUGGCUCAUCCUAGGUCAUAUUUAAAAAAUAAAAUAAAAGGACUUAGCUGUCAACUUUGUAAAAUCAGGAGGUUGCACAUAAAAAUCCUGACUGUCAAGGACAUUUCUGGUGAUCCAGAGCUUGAGACUCGGUGCACCCACUCCAAGGGGCACUGAUUCGAGCCCUGGUUGGGGAACUAAA